UCGGGGAAAGUUGAGACAGGUGGUGCAUGGUUGUCGUCAGCUCGUGUCGUGAGAUGUUGGGUUAAGUCCCGCAACGAGCGCAACCCUUACCAUUAGUUGCUACGCAAGAGCACUCUAAUGGGACUGCCGUUGACAAAACGGAGGAAGGUGGGGAUGACGUCAAAUCAUCAUGCCUCUUAUGGCCUGGGCUACACACGUACUACAAUGGCUAUUAACAGAGGGAAGCAAGACAGUGAUGUGGAGCAAAUCCCCAAAAAUAGCCUCAGUUCGGAUUGUAGGCUGCAACUCGCCUACAUGAAGUUGGAAUUGCUAGUAAUCGCAGAUCAGCAUGCUGCGGUGAAUACGUUCCCGGGCCUUGUACACACCGCCCGUCACACCAUGGGAGUCGGUAACACCCGAAGCCAAUAGUCU
This 411-nucleotide ribosomal RNA is filed under the name uncultured Bacillota bacterium. RNAcentral describes it as "bacterial SSU rRNA". It matches the Rfam family "Bacterial small subunit ribosomal RNA", at positions 1019 to 1436 of the family's 1533-position model. The record is from RNAcentral. Lineage: Bacteria; Bacillati; Bacillota.